UCCGUAGUAGCUCAGUGGUAGAGCAAUCGGCUGUUAACCGAUUGGUCGUAGGUUCGAGUCCUACCUCCGGAG
This 72-nucleotide transfer RNA is filed under the name Psychrobacillus psychrotolerans. RNAcentral describes it as "Bacillus psychrotolerans tRNA". It matches the Rfam family "tRNA". From Rfam's summary of the family: Transfer RNA (tRNA) molecules are approximately 80 nucleotides in length. Their secondary structure includes four short double-helical elements and three loops (D, anti-codon, and T loops). Lineage: Bacteria; Bacillati; Bacillota; Bacilli; Caryophanales; Bacillaceae. RNAcentral also lists the same sequence under 7 other names. The record is from Rfam by way of RNAcentral.